UGCCGGAACCCUAAAUCAGCUCCUUGUGAGAAUUUUGACCAUUUUUUUGCCAUUUUUUAUGUAUUCUCAUGAUAUUUGACGUAUGUUUUGGUUUUAACAAAAAAAUCUAAGAAAUCCGGGAACUGGAAACCGCCAGAAAACGUAGUGAAAAAGGCAAUAUUCCGGACACCGAUUUAGGGUAAGAAUCUCUCACAUUUUUUUAUGUUACGACUAAAUUGAAGCUAAACUGAUAAAUAAAAAUUUUAGUUAAACUAUGGUCAUUUAAUUAAUUAAGUACAGGUGGCCAAUGGAGCAAAUAACUGGUCAAUCCAUACCUGCUUCGAGUU
RNAcentral lists this long non-coding RNA (326 nucleotides) under Carica papaya (papaya). Its description in RNAcentral is "long non-coding RNA (CPAP_LNC011791)". The record is from RNAcentral. Lineage: Eukaryota; Viridiplantae; Streptophyta; Magnoliopsida; Brassicales; Caricaceae.